RNAcentral lists this long non-coding RNA (1261 nucleotides) under Pan troglodytes (chimpanzee). Its description in RNAcentral is "lncRNA (ENSPTRG00000054266.1)". The record is from RNAcentral. Lineage: Eukaryota; Metazoa; Chordata; Mammalia; Primates; Hominidae.
AUGCUCUUCCCAAAGGAAAAUGGACCAGGAGAGAACAACUUUUUGAGUGAGCACAACAUUUUCCGGGAAGACCUCAAGGCCAGAUUUCCUGGAGAAGAUCCAGUCUGGAGCCCAGCUCUCCUAACUCCAGGCCUGAUCAGGCUCACUCCAGAGAGUCAAAGGCUGCGUAUUGUAUGGAUGCAGAUGAUAAAAGUUCAAAGUUUCCAGCUAAAUGUCUGGAGAGAGAGAGAGAGAGAGAGAGAGAGAGAGAGAGAGAGAGAGAGACAGAGAGAGACAGAGAGACAGAGAGAAACAGAAGUGUUGAAAACCUGUUACAUCUAUAGACUUAAGUGUGUGUAAUUUCAUUUCAAACCAACAUUGUUUCUCUAACUCACAUACCCAAACCCCUGAGUAAAAUAUAUUUCUGCCAAAUUUAUUUUUACUUCCCAACAGGCCCAUUUAUGUACAAUUAAAUUGAUUAUCCAGCCAAUUCUCUUCCAUAUGAAAGCAGAAAACUGCUUUAGCUGGUGGUUUUCAUCUGUUAAUUGGAUUCUUACUUGCAAAGCCACAUCUUACUUUUUAUUUUUUAUUUUUUGCUGUUUAUUUUUCAUUUGGUAGAAAUAUGUGAAAAAGUGAUGUGAUUGUUUUAUUAAAAUAACUCAUUCUCCUAAAAAUAAAGCCUUUUAUAAUCAUUUCUCUUCAAUAUUUUCUAAAUUUCUCAGUUGACAGUGUAAAUAUAGACUCAAGUAAAGUCAUCCGCUAUUUGGAUUACUAAAAAAGAUGUAAUUCCAUUUUGGACUCCUUCUAUAUAAUGUCAAAGCAACUGAUCCAGUCAAUCUUUCACUAAAAUUUGUCCAUUGAAUUAAAGAAUAAUUUGAUUUUAUAGAGAUACAACUGUAAUCUUUAAAAUUACUACUUGGUGUAAUUCCAUCGGUAUUCUUGACUCCAUUUGGGUGGUAUGGGAAGAAUAGAAGGGGGAGGUAUAUUAGAGGCUGAGAGUUUUUAAUCUUAUCCAUUCUCCAUUUUUCUGUAUUUUUCUUUUAUGUAUCUGUUAUAAAAAACAAAAACAAGCUGUUUCUAAUUGGAAAUAUGACUCUCUGAAUAAAGACUACAUUUCCAAGCUUUCUUUGAAGCCAUAUUGAGUUCUCCAGAGAAACAGAACCUAGAGCAUACACACACACACGUAUACACACACACACACAAAUAUAUACACAUAUACACAUAUAUAGGUACAUGCACACAUAUAUACACACACAUACAUACAUGUGUAUAUAUGUGUAUA